This 375-nucleotide unclassified non-coding RNA is filed under the name Basidiomycota sp. RNAcentral describes it as "partial contains small subunit ribosomal RNA and internal transcribed spacer 1". The stretch from base 1 to 47 matches the Rfam family "Eukaryotic small subunit ribosomal RNA", at positions 1785 to 1831 of the family's 1831-position model. Lineage: Eukaryota; Fungi; Basidiomycota. The record is from RNAcentral.
AAAGUCGUAACAAGGUAUCCGUAGGUGAACCUGCGGAUGGAUCAUUAUAAGCACGAAAGGGGGAGGGGGGGGGAGAUAGUCUGGUCCGGUCCGGUCCGGUCCUGGUCCUGGCCUCGGCAAACGAUCCUGCAAACGAACCUGAGAACGAAAGCAAACAUAUACACCUUUGUGGUUUAUAGAUGUUGUAUGUGUGUUGUUGGCGGCCGCGAAUGCGCAGCUCGAAAGAGCAGCGCGGCCGCACCGCCGACGGCAUGCCCCAUACAAACCUAUCAAUGCAUACUAGUCUAACGUAUAACCUUGUGGUCUGCCUCGGCGGACACCAAGUAAAACAACCAUAAUCCAAUACAACUGCUAGCAACGGAUCACUCGGCUCUC